Non-coding RNA from Carica papaya (papaya), 489 nucleotides. The record is from RefSeq and is a predicted model, not a curated record. NCBI's taxonomy places the organism in Eukaryota, Viridiplantae, Streptophyta, Magnoliopsida, Brassicales, Caricaceae.
AUAUAUUUCUUAUUUCAACCAAGAAUCUUGAUACAGCAUCCAUAAUAUUCUCUUGUGAAGUUCUGAUUGUGAUACAAAGAAAUGAGCCUCUUAUCUUAUGGAUAUUCCAUACGAACUUUUGGUCUCUUGCAGCCUGUACUAGCUGUAAUGUAUCUGGUGCAGUACAUGCCAACCAUCGGCUACUGGCUUAUGGACAAGAUUGGAGCGAAUCGAGUUGAAGCUGCUAAAGAGAAAGGCAACGCAUACUCACUGCGGUUAUUGUUUGGUAAGAAGAAAGCAGCUUGAACGGGACACCAUUUUGCUCUUUAACUGUCAAAGAGUGCAAGCACUACUCUCUCUUCCUCGUAUCAUUUAUAUCGUAGACUGUUCUGAGGAAGAAUAACAAUAAUAGUUCUUACCCCUGUCCGAUGAGAUUUUCCUUUCAUUUGUUGGAGGGCUGAUGCAAUUCCAGUUUGGAACUUAUGUUAAAUUGAGUAAUUCAUUUAAUAA